GCCGGCGUGGUGGAAUUGGUAGACACGCUACCUUGAGGUGGUAGUGCCUAACAGCGUCCCAGUUCAAAUCUGGGCGUCGGUACCA
RNAcentral lists this transfer RNA (85 nucleotides) under Ignatzschineria indica. RNAcentral's name for it is "tRNA-Leu". It matches the Rfam family "tRNA". Rfam says of the family: Transfer RNA (tRNA) molecules are approximately 80 nucleotides in length. The record is from RNAcentral. RNAcentral also lists the same sequence under 2 other names. Lineage: Bacteria; Pseudomonadati; Pseudomonadota; Gammaproteobacteria; Cardiobacteriales; Ignatzschineriaceae.